UUUUAAAUGUAUCACAAAGCAGCUUGAAAAAUGAUUUUAAGCUCACAUUUUUGUCUUUCCUUAUGUUUGAGUCCUCUUCCCAUGCAGCAUGAAAGCAAUUAAGCAUUACAUGUGGCUAAGCCCUUAAUCUACUGUUAACAGUUGUUUUCAACACGGCACCAAAAACGAGGCCCAAGGGUUUCUGAACCACGGCAUUGGGUAAAAAAAUGGGAAACUAAUGGUCAGCUUCACAUUUUCUAUCACCUUCAAUAAACCCGUAAACCCCACUUUGCAGCAAAGUGAGGCGAUACAAUUUCAUUAUUAAUGUCUGACUUGCGCGCGGCAAAAAAAAAACCCGGAGGAUUUUGUCCCGGUCGACAAAGUCAAGUGGAGCUCCUCUCAGCGAUAAGAAAAGCACAAACACAUUUCAGGGAAAGCGUCCCCUGCUGCGACGUGGUUAAAAAACGAAAAAAAAAAAAAAAACAAGACAAGUUGAUGACGGCCACCGUGAAAGCUGCGGCUGGGUGUGGAAAUUAGCCUGUCACGGUCCUGGACCCUGACCAGCCGCUGCGGAUAAUCACAGCUCUGGCACGCCGUCGGCUCUGAAAUGUGACAGCGGCAACCUGUUAUUUCAAGGGUCGGGKGAUAAUUGCGCGCUGGCCUGCGUGGGAAGAUCAGAGCUGAAUUAAAAAGCAGGAGAUGGGAGGAGGGGGGGUUAUAACAGCGGGACGAGCAGGACCGGAUUACCGCAUUGUUUUCCCUGUUUGCUACGGUCCAAGCGCUGACAGGUGAGCAUGGAGAGAGUUCCUGGAAAAUGACUCAUCAUUCCGCCGCCACUUUUCCAGACUGACGCCCCCCACCAGCAGGAGAAAUGUUCUUCCACCUGAUGUGAUUUCAGCUUCCUCUGCCUUCCUGUUCAUGUGUCAUUUCACAUCCAAACUCUAUUUUUCCUCACUGUAAUAACUGAGCGUGUCAGAUGUACUUUAUUCAUCUGUGAGCGGCUCGUUUUUUCUUUUUUUUUUGUUUGUUAUUUGAUGAACAGCUGCAGGGUGUGUUUUUGAGCUUUUCUAAUGAUUGCGCCCAUCUAAGCCGCCUACAUCAAUACCAGGCAUUCUGACCUGCGGAUAAAGUGAAAACUCCAUUAAAAUAAAGCACUUAACAGCAAACAAAAAUCCCCCAAACUACACACACACACACACACACGCAGACACACACACACACUAUCCGGAUAAAAACCCAUCAUCUGAUCAGUCACAGGUUCACAAGUCCAAACUGUUUUUCUAUUACUGCAUGAAAUAGCCAACCUGGUUUCAUCUUGGCAGCUCUUUCUGAUCCACCCUGGUUUCUUUCUGAUCUCAUUUUCAGGUAAAGAAAAAAAAAACCCUUCCAUUUGACUUUUGUUUUUGAAAUUCUGCCUGGCUUAUGCUACAUUUUACGCUCCAGAAGACCGUCUGAUGAGCUCUCGGGUGCAAAAUGUUCCUUUAACUUUAAUUUGUCUUCGUAUUUUCCCCUCCCGGCGCCUCUCUUCACUCUGUAAUCAAACCAAUCACCAAGGUGCAGCAAGGGGGGGCACAAAGUAGAAUAGCAGGAGGGUAAAGUCUGAGUCAGUAUUCUUUAAAAAGAUGAAAUAAAAGAUGUUCUGUAUCUGUCUGUUCUUUGCAAAGUCUUUGGUGCAUCAAAAUGCUCUGCUGUUACCAUGGUAACAAUGGAGUGAGAAAAAAACUAAACAAAACAGAGAACCUGUACUCUUAUUUGUUUUCUUUGCAAACAACCCAAACAUUUGUCUGUUAACCUUCAUAUCCGUCAGAAAAUAAUUACUGUCAUAGUGAUGAAAAAGAGACAUAAGAAGGCACUUCAAACUAAACCUGACGGAAACUCACAGCAUGCUGCAGAUGCAGAGGAGGUCAUGAAUGAGGAGCCAAAUGGGUCGAGCCGCUUUGUGUCUCUGUGGUCUGAAAUUGCCUAGAUUCACAUACAAUACACAAUGGGUCAGGUUGCCCGACUUCUGGGUAAAAUUUUAUUUUAUCCAGAUUUUGUUUGCUAGACUAAGGCAAAGCCGUCCCACCUGUGUGUGACUGGAUCAUAGUGUCUAUAGUUGUUCUGUGAAGACUUCAGAGGUCUGUGAGAAAACAUUAGCAUGAACUACAUGAACACAGCAGACAGAGAAGGAGUCAAGGGACCCAUGGUCACAAAGCUGAGCUGCAGAGAUCAACAACAGAGAGUCGUGGUUUAGCUAGCUAGCUAGUGUUAGCGAUGGCAGCAUAGGAAGUGAGCAAAGCCGUUCAGUCCAUGUUGGCCACGCUGCUAAAUAUUGAAGUGACAUCAACACUUCGUUCAGAUCAGCACUUCUCUCCCUGCAGUGGAGGAUGGCUGUCUAGAGUGCAGAGACGUCAGAGUCUUAUUCGGGCAUUGAAGCAACAAGCCCCGUGUACUUGGGAGCGGCUACGUGUGCAGCGUUUUGCACUUUAAAGAAGUUCUAUGGAUUCAUGACGUUGGAAUGACACACCAUGUUUUAUGAACUGAGGUGCUGUAAGAGCUCUGGUGGAGCCAGCUGCACCUCGUCCAAAUCAAAAACAAACCGUCAUCCUCCUGCCACUUCCUGUCGUCUUCUUUGUGGUUUUCACCAGCAGUAACUGUCGGAUGUUACUGACAUGACUCAUGUGAUGCGAGAAAAAGCGUUUCCAUUGCAGUUCU
Molecule: long non-coding RNA, 2673 nt
Organism: Poecilia reticulata (guppy)
Lineage: Eukaryota; Metazoa; Chordata; Actinopteri; Cyprinodontiformes; Poeciliidae
Source: RefSeq, a predicted model, not a curated record